RNAcentral lists this ribosomal RNA (401 nucleotides) under uncultured prokaryote. RNAcentral describes it as "bacterial SSU rRNA". It matches the Rfam family "Bacterial small subunit ribosomal RNA", at positions 355 to 774 of the family's 1533-position model. The record is from RNAcentral.
UGGGGAAUAUUGCACAAUGGGCGAAAGCCUGAUGCAGCAACGCCGCGUGAGCGAAGAAGGCCUUUGGGUCGUAAAGCUCUGUCCGAGGGGAAGAUAAUGACGGUACCCUUGGAGGAAGCCCCGGCUAACUACGUGCCAGCAGCCGCGGUAAUACGUAGGGGGCGAGCGUUAUCCGGACUUAUUGGGCGUAAAGAGUGCGUAGGUGGUUCUUUAAGCGUGAGGUGGAAGGCAAUGGCUUAACGAUUGUAAGCCUUGCGAACGGGAGAACUUGAGUGCAGGAGAGGUAAGUGGAAUUCCUAGUGUAGCGGUGAAAUGCGUAGAUAUUAGGCGGAACACCAGUGGCGAAGGCAACUUACUGGACUGUAACUGACACUGAGGCACGAAAGCGUGGGGGGCAAACA